CACGUAGGGGGCAAGCGUUGUCCGGAUUUAUUGGGCGUAAAGAGCUCGUAGGCGGCUUAGUAAGUCGGGUGUGAAACCUCCAGGCUCAACCUGGAGACGCCACCCGAUACUGCUGUGGCUAGAGUCCGGUAGGGGAGCGUGGAAUUCCUGGUGUAGCGGUGAAAUGCGUAGAUAUGCGGAGGAACACCGAUGGCGAAGGCAAUCCCCUGGACCUGUACUGACGCUCAUGCACGAAAGCGUGGGGAGCAAACAGG
RNAcentral lists this ribosomal RNA (254 nucleotides) under uncultured bacterium. RNAcentral's name for it is "partial 16S ribosomal RNA". It matches the Rfam family "Bacterial small subunit ribosomal RNA", at positions 524 to 776 of the family's 1533-position model. The record is from RNAcentral.